RNAcentral lists this ribosomal RNA (508 nucleotides) under uncultured bacterium. RNAcentral describes it as "bacterial SSU rRNA". It matches the Rfam family "Bacterial small subunit ribosomal RNA", at positions 21 to 518 of the family's 1533-position model. The record is from RNAcentral.
GGCUCAGGAUGAGCGCUAGCUACAGGCUUAACACAUGCAAGUCGAGGGGCAGCAUUGGGAUAGCUUGCUAUUCAGAUGGCGACCGGCGCACGGGUGAGUAACGCGUAUCCAACCUUCCUGCCAGUAGGGAACAGCCCGGCGAAAGUCGGAUUAAUGCCCUAUGUUCUUCAAUGCGGACAUCUAAGUUGAAGGAAAGAUUCAUCGCUGGCAGAUGGGGAUGCGUCCGAUUAGCUUGCCGGCGGGGUAACGGCCCACCGGGGCGACGAUCGGUAGGGGUUCUGAGAGGAAGGUCCCCCACACUGGUACUGAGACACGGACCAGACUCCUACGGGAGGCAGCAGUGAGGAAUAUUGGUCAAUGGGCGUAAGCCUGAACCAGCCAAGUAGCGUGCAAGGAUGACGGCCCUACGGGUUGUAAACUGCUUUUAUGCGGGGAUAAAGUGCGGCACGUGUGCCGCUUUGCAGGUACCGCAUGAAUAAGGACCGGCUAAUUCCGUGCCAGCCGCCGC